RNAcentral lists this ribosomal RNA (253 nucleotides) under uncultured bacterium. RNAcentral describes it as "partial 16S ribosomal RNA". It matches the Rfam family "Bacterial small subunit ribosomal RNA", at positions 524 to 776 of the family's 1533-position model. The record is from RNAcentral.
UACGAAGGGGGCUAGCGUUGCUCGGAAUCACUGGGCGUAAAGCGCACGUAGGCGGAUCUUUAAGUCAGGGGUGAAAUCCUGGAGCUCAACUCCAGAACUGCCUUUGAUACUGGGGAUCUCGAGUCCGGAAGAGGUGAGUGGAACUCCGAGUGUAGAGGUGAAAUUCGUAGAUAUUCGGAAGAACACCAGUGGCGAAGGCGGCUCACUGGUCCGGUACUGACGCUGAGAUGCGAAAGCGUGGGGAGCAAACAGG